GACGAACGCUGGCGGCGUGCCUAAUACAUGCAAGUAGAACGCUGAAGGAGGAGCUUGCUUCUCUGGAUGAGUUGCGAACGGGUGAGUAACGCGUAGGUAACCUGCCUGGUAGCGGGGGAUAACUAUUGGAAACGAUAGCUAAUACCGCAUAAGAGUAGAUGUUGCAUGGCAUUUGCUUAAAAGGUGCAAUUGCAUCACUACCAGAUGGACCUGCGUUGUAUUAGCUAGUUGGUGAGGUAACGGCUCACCAAGGCAACGAUACAUAGCCGACCUGAGAGGGUGAUCGGCCACACUGGGACUGGGACACGGCCCAGACUCCUACGGGAGGCAGCAGUAGGGAAUCUUCGGCAAUGGACGGAAGUCUGACCGAGCAACGCCGCGUGAGUGAAGAAGGUUUUCGGAUCGUAAAGCUCUGUUGUAAGAGAAGAACGAGUGUGAGAGUGGAAAGUUCACACUGUGACGGUAUCUUACCAGAAAGGGACGGUUAACUACGUG
Molecule: ribosomal RNA, 495 nt
Filed under: uncultured bacterium
Lineage: Bacteria
Description: partial 16S ribosomal RNA
Rfam family: Bacterial small subunit ribosomal RNA
Source: RNAcentral